UGAGAGUUGUUGCUGGCCUCUAGGGGCAUGUGCACGCUUCACUAGUCUUUCAACCACCUGUGAACUUUUGAUAGAUCUGUGAAGUCGUCCUUCAAGUCGUCAGACUUGGUUUGCUGGGAUUUAAACGUCUCGGUGUGACAACGCAGUCUAUUUACUUAACACACCCCAAAUGUAUGUCUACGAAUGUCAUUUAAUGGGCCUUGUGCCUAUAAACCAUAAUACAACUUUCAACAACGGAUCUCUUGGCUCUCGCAUCGAUGAAGAACGCAGCGAAAUGCGAUAAGUAAUGUGAAUUGCAGAAUUCAGUGAAUCAUCGAAUCUUUGAACGCACCUUGCGCCCCUUGGUAUUCCGAGGGGCAUGCCUGUUUGAGUGUCAUUAAAUUCUCAAACUCACAUUUAUUUGUGAUGUUUGGAUUGUUGGGGGUUGCUGGCUGUAACAAGUCGGCUCCUCUUAAAUGCAUUAGCAGGACUUCUCAUUGCCUCUGCGCAUGAUGUGAUAAUUAUCACUCAUCAAUAGCACGCAUGAAUAGAGUCCAGCUCUCUAAUCGUCCGCAAGGACAAUUUGACAAUUUGACCUCAAAUCAGGUAGGACUACCCGCUGAACUUAAGCAUAUCAUAAG
This 620-nucleotide ribosomal RNA is filed under the name Lentinus sajor-caju. RNAcentral's name for it is "eukaryotic LSU rRNA". The stretch from base 223 to 376 matches the Rfam family "5.8S ribosomal RNA". The record is from RNAcentral. Lineage: Eukaryota; Fungi; Basidiomycota; Agaricomycetes; Polyporales; Polyporaceae.